CCUACGGGGGGCAGCAGUGAGGAAUAUUGGUCAAUGGACGAGAGUCUGAACCAGCCAAGUAGCGUGAAGGAUGACUGCCCUAUGGGUUGUAAACUUCUUUUAUAUGGGAAUAAAAUGUUCCACGUGUGGGAUUUUGUAUGUACCAUAUGAAUAAGGAUCGGCUAACACCGGGCCAGCAGCCGCGGUAAUACGGAGGAUCCGAGCGUUAUCCGGAUUUAUUGGGUUUAAAGGGAGCGUAGGUGGAUUGUUAAGUCAGUUGUGAAAGUUUGCGGCUCAACCGUAAAAUUGCAGUUGAAACUGGCAGUCUUGAGUACAGUAGAGGUGGGCGGAAUUCGUGGUGUAGCGGUGAAAUGCUUAGAUAUCACGAAGAACUCCGAUUGCGAAGGCAGUUCACUGGACUGCAACUGACACUGAGGCUCGAAAGUGUGGGUAUCAAACAGGAUUAGAUACCCCUGGUAGUC
Molecule: ribosomal RNA, 461 nt
Filed under: uncultured bacterium
Lineage: Bacteria
Description: partial 16S ribosomal RNA
Rfam family: Bacterial small subunit ribosomal RNA
Source: RNAcentral